CAGCAGCCGCGGUAAUACGUAGGGCGCAAGCGUUAUCCGGAAUUAUUGGGCGUAAAGAGCUCGUAGGCGGUUUGUCGCGUCUGCCGUGAAAGUCCGGGGCUCAACCCCGGAUCUGCGGUGGGUACGGGCAGACUAGAGUGAUGUAGGGGAGACUGGAAUUCCUGGUGUAGCGGUGAAAUGCGCAGAUAUCAGGAGGAACACCGAUGGCGAAGGCAGGUCUCUGGGCAUUAACUGACGCUGAGGAGCGAAAGCAUGGGGAGCGAACAGGAUUAGAUACCCGAGUAGUCCCUGUCUCUUAUAC
This 301-nucleotide ribosomal RNA is filed under the name uncultured bacterium. Its description in RNAcentral is "partial 16S ribosomal RNA". It matches the Rfam family "Bacterial small subunit ribosomal RNA", at positions 509 to 807 of the family's 1533-position model. The record is from RNAcentral.